Brassica rapa (field mustard) is the source of this 991-nucleotide long non-coding RNA. RefSeq lists it as uncharacterized. The record is from RefSeq and is a predicted model, not a curated record. Lineage: Eukaryota; Viridiplantae; Streptophyta; Magnoliopsida; Brassicales; Brassicaceae.
AGCAUAUAAAGAGAUCGAAAGCAAAUACAAUGAACCUUAACAGCGGCAGCGACGGCAUCACCAACGACGCCAGGAGAGGCCUGCCAUGUUCCAAGACCCACAGACGGGAUCUUAGCACCGGUGUUGAGCUCGAAGAAUCCGAUAGCGUUCAACAUUGUCAGAGACUUGGUGGUUAUGAGUUUAAGAUCGCUGGUUUUGGUGAGAAGUGAGAGCUAUAUAGGAGGGGAGAUUCGUAGGAAAACUUAAUUUUUCUUGAAUUUUAGUAUUGCCACGUCAUAUAUUGAUCAUUACAUGGACGUAUAUUAUUCGCUCAUUUAGAUCGCCUCGUUGCUAUGUCGAAUGCGAUCGUUCAAAGUAACAUGUUUUUGGGUCCACGCAUGCAUUGGCUCGAGCGUAUUUAAUGAUCGACGGCUGUUUUGAGCUAAUCUAUGCAUUUAAUUUGCACCGUCGACCGCUUUCUAAAUUGCAAGUUACAAUUUUUUAAGAUAAUUUUUAAGUUAGAUAAAUUUUUCUCAUAUUUUAACUAUCAAUGAUGUUAUCUUAAAUAGAAAAAAGAUUAGCUAACCGUACAAAAUGAUUUUUUGAGUGCAAUUACUAAAGAAAAGUUGUUUUUGUAAAAGUAAACAAAUAUUUGUAAGAUCAUAUAUUCAAACUUUAUACAUAUUUCCAGGGUUUUGAAUUUAGAGAUCUUAUAACAUUUUUUUGCGGUUCCUAGAAAAUUUUCAACUCGAAUAAAUUAAGAACUUACAUGUUGUAUGGGUCCAUGUGGGCCAUAUGAGGUGGUGGUCAUCAACAUCAACGUCUCAAAAUAACAAUUUAGUGGCACGUUCAAUUUCUCGUUUAGACAAUCUGGCACUAUAUACCAGGGUUUGAUUGGUAUGUUAAUAACAACCAACUACAAGCAUCACAUUUUCUAUUUGAGAUGAUUACAAUAUAUUGCGAAUUGUAUAAUCGGAUCAAUAACUUUUUUGAAUAAUAUAAUAAUUCAAAA